RNAcentral lists this ribosomal RNA (469 nucleotides) under uncultured bacterium. Its description in RNAcentral is "bacterial SSU rRNA". It matches the Rfam family "Bacterial small subunit ribosomal RNA", at positions 917 to 1382 of the family's 1533-position model. The record is from RNAcentral.
GGGCCCGCACAAGCGGUGGAGUAUGUGGUUUAAUUCGACGCAACGCGAAGAACCUUACCAGGGCUUGACAUCCUCUGACAGCCCAAGAGAUUGGGUAUUCCGUCUUCGGAUGGACAGAGAGACAGGUGGUGCAUGGUUGUCGUCAGCUCGUGUCGUGAGAUGUUGGGUUAAGUCCCGCAACGAGCGCAACCCUUAUCCUUAGUUGCCAGCACAAAAGGUGGGCACUCUAAAGAGACUGCCGGUGACAAACCGGAGGAAGGUGGGGAUGACGUCAAAUCAUCAUGCCCUUUAUGUCCUGGGCUACACACGUACUACAAUGGCCUGUACAAAGGGUAGCGAAGCCGUGAGGUGGAGCCAAUCCCAAAAAGCAGGUCUCAGUUCGGAUUGCAGGCUGCAACUCGCCUGCAUGAAGUCGGAAUCGCUAGUAAUCGCGGAUCAGCAUGCCGCGGUGAAUACGUUCCCGGGCCUU